CUACGGGGCGCUGCAGUGGGGAAUAUUGGACAAUGGGGGAAACCCUGAUCCAGCGACGCCGCGUGAGUGAAGAAGUAUUUCGGUAUGUAAAGCUCUAUCAGCAGGGAAGAAAAUGACGGUACCUGACUAAGAAGCCCCGGCUAACUACGUGCCAGCGAGCCGCGGUAAUACGUAGGGGGCAAGCGUUAUCCGGAUUUACUGGGUGUAAAGGGAGCGUAGACGGCAUAGCAAGUCCGAAGUGAAAUUCCGGGGCUCAACCCCGGAACUGCUUUGGAAACUGUUAAGCUUGAGUGUCGGAGAGGUAAGUGGAAUUCCUAGUGUAGCGGUGAAAUGCGUAGAUAUUAGGAGGAACACCAGUGGCGAAGGCGGCUUACUGGACGAUAACUGACGUUGAGGCUCGAAAGCGUGGGGAGCAAACAGGAUUAGAUACCCGAGUAGUC
This 440-nucleotide ribosomal RNA is filed under the name uncultured bacterium. RNAcentral describes it as "partial 16S ribosomal RNA". It matches the Rfam family "Bacterial small subunit ribosomal RNA", at positions 339 to 795 of the family's 1533-position model. The record is from RNAcentral.